AAACUCAAAGGAAUUGACGGGGCCCGCACAAGCGGAGGAACAUGUGGUUUAAUUCGAUGAUACGCGAGGAACCUUACCUGGGCUUAAAUGGGAGUGACAGCUGUCGAAAGAUGGUUUUCUUCGGACACUCUUCAAGGUGCUGCAUGGUUGUCGUCAGCUCGUGCCGUGAGGUGUCGGGUUAAGUCCCAUAACGAGCGCAACCCUUACCGUUAGUUACCAUCAGGUUAAGCUGGGGACUCUAGCGGGACUGCCACCGUAAGGUGAGAGGAAGGUGGGGAUGACGUCAAAUCAGCACGGCCCUUAUGUCCAGGGCUACACACGUGUUACAAUGGCCGGUACAAAGGGCAGCUACUUCGCGAGAAGAUGCUAAUCUCGAAAGCCGGUCUCAGUUCGGAUCGAAGUCUGCAACCCGACUUCGUGAAGCUGGAUUCGCUAGUAAUCGCGCAUCAGCCAUGGCGCGGUGAAUACGUUCCCGGGGCUU
RNAcentral lists this ribosomal RNA (481 nucleotides) under uncultured Sphingobacteriales bacterium. RNAcentral describes it as "bacterial SSU rRNA". It matches the Rfam family "Bacterial small subunit ribosomal RNA", at positions 897 to 1382 of the family's 1533-position model. The record is from RNAcentral. Lineage: Bacteria; Pseudomonadati; Bacteroidota; Sphingobacteriia; Sphingobacteriales.